UACGUAGGGUGCAGGCGUUAAUCGGAAUUACUGGGCGUAAAGCGUGCGCAGGCGGUUUGCUAAGACAGGUGUGAAAUCCCCCGGGCUUAACCUGGGAACUGCGCUUGUAACUGGCAAGCUAGAGUGUGGCAGAGGGGGGUGGAAUUCCACGUGUAGCAGUGAAAUGCGUAGAGAUGUGGAGGAACACCGAUGGCGAAGGCAGCCCCCUGGGCUAACACUGACGCUCAUGCACGAAAGCGUGGGGAGCAAACAGG
This 254-nucleotide ribosomal RNA is filed under the name uncultured bacterium. RNAcentral describes it as "partial 16S ribosomal RNA". It matches the Rfam family "Bacterial small subunit ribosomal RNA", at positions 524 to 776 of the family's 1533-position model. The record is from RNAcentral.